CAAUACCGCGAGGUGGAGCAAAUCCCUAAAAGCCGUCUCAGUUCGGAUUGCAGGCUGCAACUCGCCUGCAUGAAGCUGGAAUUGCUAGUAAUCGCGGAUCAGCAUGCCGCGGUGAAUACGUUCCCGGGCCUUGUACACACCGCCCGUCACACCAUGAGAGUCGGGAACACCCGAAGUCCGUAGUCUAACCGCAAGGAGGGCGCGGCCGAAGGUGGGUCCGGUAAUUGGGGUGAAGUCGUAACAAGGUAAC
RNAcentral lists this ribosomal RNA (250 nucleotides) under uncultured bacterium. RNAcentral describes it as "partial 16S ribosomal RNA". It matches the Rfam family "Bacterial small subunit ribosomal RNA", at positions 1250 to 1500 of the family's 1533-position model. The record is from RNAcentral.